ACGGCCGUUGGGUCCCACCCCCGGUCUCUAGGCAAUGCUGCACGGCCAUCUUAGGUUCGGGCGGAAGAGCUGGGGGAGGUGGGGUGGCCCUGGCUCUGGCCCUGGUCCUGGUCCUGGUCCUGGUCCUGGUCCUGGACCUGAUCCUGAUCCUGGCCCUGGCUCUGGCCCUGGCCCUGGUCCCGGUCCUGGUCCUGGUGCACUAUGGAAGCAGGCAUCUCUUGGCUGAGAGAGGGGACAUGGCGAAGGGUUGCAUGUCGCUCUGCCUGCCACGGAGCAGGCCCUGAUAUUGCCUCUCUACUUUACCAAGCUCUGGCAAAGGAAGCAGCAAAGCACAUGGUAGCUAUUUUUUCUUGCUGGCCCUACUAGUUCAUAACACCAUUGUCCAUGUCUGCUGGCAUGCUGACUGCUCAGAUCCUCUUGCAUUGCAAUGCAGCUGCCUGCUCUCAGGGGAUGUCAGGUCAUUGCUCAACUCCUUUGAGCCUGUCUUGCCUUUCCCAGUUGCCCACGUGACUACUGUAGUACUGGACAACAUUGGACUGCCAAGUUUUUGACAUGACUUCCUGCAGAACUUCUCCCAUGGGUUUCUCCUCUCCAUCCUUUACUGGACAGGACUGAGCAGUUCUCAGCUGCCUGCUGUCUUCAAAUAGAGUCCUGCUGUGGGCAAAUCUCAAGCCCCAUGUCUUCCUUUCAUCUGUGCCUCAUUGGUAAACAGCAUAUCUUUCCAUUUCCAACCCCACUGUCUACUGCAGGGAACUGGCUGUUGGGGGUGGAAAGCUAGGAUUUUGUACAGGAAAGUAAGAUGAAUGACUCCAUUAAAUAAAUAUCACUGCUCUGCUUGUUAUUUCAAAAGAAGAGAUUACAAAAAAACAAUAGAUGCAUUUUAAAUACAUUAAAAUUCUGAGUAAAAUAAAGCCUUAAAUACAAUGCUCAUGUAACAUAAAUCAUACAGCUUUUUUCUAUCCCUGCACAUGGAAAGCAAAACCGUAUUAUUAUAUCAUUAUUUAUAUGGCACCAUAUGCUAAGUCUGGAACUUAAAGACUUUCAAAUAAAUAAGAAAACACCAGCUGCAGAUCAGCAAUACGCUCUUUUAUUGGGAGUCACUGUGUAACUGUGGCUAUCAUUCCUGCUGUUAAGUUAAAACUUAAAUAAAUUGUCAGAGAAAUAAGAUAGCCAUUAGAGAUUCAGUGUCUGUCUCCUGGGGACACUUUUUCUAACAGCUGUAACAAAGAUCUGCUGCUGGUUUUGUCCUAUCUGUGUAGUAACUCAUUGCAUUUGUCCCUGCAGUAUCACAGUUGUUCAGUAGAGAUGGUUGAGCUGUUCACUAUAAAUAAUGUUGGUUAACAAUGCGGCCCCUUUUGGGUUAAUAAAUUACGGUCAAACCACUCCUGAGCCCCUUUGAUUGGUUUCUUGCAAGUCUGCAGUGAAGAGUUGGAACAAAUCACUUUUCACAGUCUCUUCAUUUUGAAUAUUUCUUCUUAUUUUAUUGUGCUGUAAAUAAAUAAAU
Cygnus olor (mute swan) is the source of this 1504-nucleotide long non-coding RNA. RefSeq lists it as uncharacterized. The transcript is spliced from 4 exons. The record is from RefSeq and is a predicted model, not a curated record. NCBI's taxonomy places the organism in Eukaryota, Metazoa, Chordata, Aves, Anseriformes, Anatidae.